This 437-nucleotide ribosomal RNA is filed under the name uncultured bacterium. RNAcentral's name for it is "bacterial SSU rRNA". It matches the Rfam family "Bacterial small subunit ribosomal RNA", at positions 954 to 1392 of the family's 1533-position model. The record is from RNAcentral.
GCAGAACGCGAAGAACCUUACCAAGGCUUGACAUAUACCUGAAAAGGCUGGAAACAGUCUCCCCGCAAGGCAGGUAUACAGGUGGUGCAUGGUUGUCGUCAGCUCGUGUCGUGAGAUGUUGGGUUAAGUCCCGCAACGAGCGCAACCCUCGUUCUAUGUUGCCAGCACGUAAUGGUGGGAACUCAUAGGAGACUGCCGGGGUCAACUCGGAGGAAGGUGGGGAUGACGUCAAAUCAUCAUGCCCCUUAUGUCUUGGGCUUCACGCAUGCUACAAUGGCCGGUACAAAGGGCUGCAAUACCGCAAGGUGGAGCGAAUCCCAAAAAGCCGGUCUCAGUUCGGAUUGAGGUCUGCAACUCGACCUCAUGAAGUCGGAGUCGCUAGUAAUCGCAGAUCAGCAACGCUGCGGUGAAUACGUUCCCGGGUCUUGUACACACCG